CCUACGGGUGGCAGCAGUGGGGAAUAUUGCACAAUGGGGGAAACCCUGAUGCAGCGACGCCGCGUGAGUGAAGAAGCGUUUCGGCGCGUAAAGCUCUGUCAGCGGGGAAGAAACACGGUUCGCGAGAGCCGCGGACGGUACCCGACCAAGAAGCCCCGGCUAACUACGUGCCAGCAGCCGCGGUAAUACGUAGGGGGCAAGCGUUAUCCGGAUUUACUGGGUGUAAAGGGAGCGUAGACGGCAGCACAAGUCUGGAGUGAAAUGCCGGGGCUUAACCCCGGAACUGCUUUGGAAACUGUGCAGCUAGAGUGCAGGAGAGGUAAGUGGAAUUCCUAGUGUAGCGGUGAAAUGCGUAGAUAUUAGGAGGAACACCAGUGGCGAAGGCGGCUUACUGGACUGUAACUGACGUUGAGGCUCGAAAGCGUGGGGAGCAAACAGGAUUAGAUACCCGGGUAGUC
Molecule: ribosomal RNA, 458 nt
Filed under: uncultured bacterium
Lineage: Bacteria
Description: partial 16S ribosomal RNA
Rfam family: Bacterial small subunit ribosomal RNA
Source: RNAcentral